Molecule: ribosomal RNA, 643 nt
Filed under: Mortierella sp. L-3
Lineage: Eukaryota; Fungi; Mortierellomycota; Mortierellomycetes; Mortierellales; Mortierellaceae
Description: eukaryotic LSU rRNA
Rfam family: 5.8S ribosomal RNA (bases 204-357)
Source: RNAcentral
AAGUCGUAACAAGGUUUCCGUAGGUGAACCUGCGGAAGGAUCAUUCACAAUGAGUGUUUUAUGGCACUCUUUAAAAAUCCAUAUCCACCUUGUGUGCAAUGUUUGUUGGGAGAGAGGCAGCUCUUUCCCUUCCCAAAUAUCAACCUAUAUCUUUAACAACAUUCGUCUGAUAACAUAUUAUGAAUAUACUUAAUUCAAAAUAUAACUUUCAACAACGGAUCUCUUGGCUCUCGCAUCGAUGAACAACGGACCCAAAUGCCAUACAUAAUGUGAAUUGCAUAAUUCACUGAAUCAUCAAAUCUUUGAACGCAUAUUGCGCUCUUUGGUAUUCCGAAAAGGAUGCUUGUUUGAGUAUCAAUAAACACCUCGACCUCUUUUUUUGACAAACAAAGGGAGGGUGGACUUGAUCUAUCCCAACGACCUUUACCGUUAGGCGGGCGGCUUGAAUUGCUUGUGCGGCUGGACUUUUGUCUCAUCUAAAGGCAUAUCUAUUUAGCCUGCCUAAAAACAUAUUAUUACCUUUGCUGCAGCUAACUUAAAGGAGAUUAUUUCUUGUGCUGACUGAUGCAGGAUUCACAGAGACCGCUUCGGCUGUCUUUGUAAGAUCGAUCUCAAAUCAUGUAAGACUACCCGCUGAACUUAA